UAACGGCGAGUGAAGCGGCAACAGCUCAAAUUUGAAAUCUGGCCCCUAGGGUCCGAGUUGUAAUUUGUAGAGGAUGCUUUUGGUGAGGUGCCGCCCGAGUUCCCUGGAACGGGACGCCGCAGAGGGUGAGAGCCCCGUCUGGCUGGCCACCGAGCCUAUGUAAAGCUCCUUCGACGAGUCGAGUAGUUUGGGAAUGCUGCUCAAAAUGGGAGGUAUAUGUCUUCUAAAGCUAAAUAUUGGCCAGAGACCGAUAGCGCACAAGUAGAGUGAUCGAAAGAUGAAAAGCACCUUGAAAAGAGGGUUAAACAGUACGUGAAAUUGUUGAAAGGGAAGCGCUUGUGACCAGACUUGGGCGCGGCGGAUCAUCCGGGGUUCUCCCCGGUGCACUUCGCCGCGUUCAGGCCAGCAUCAGUUCGGCGCGGGGGAAAAAGGCUUCGGGAACGUGGCUCCUCCGGGAGUGUUAUAGCCCGUUGCAUAAUACCCUGCGCUGGACUGAGGACCGCGCAUCUGCAAGGAUGCUGGCGUAAUGGUCACCAGCGACCCGUCUUGAAACACGGACCAAGGAGUCGUCUUCGUAUGCGAGUGUUCGGGUGUCAAACCCCUACGCGUAAUGAAAGUGAACGCAGGUGAGAGCUUCGGCGCAUCAUCGACCGAUCCUGAUGUUCUCGGAUGGAUUUGAGUAAGAGCAUACGGGGCCGGACCCGAAAGAAGGUGAACUAUGCCUGUAUAGGGUGAAGCCAGAGGAAACUCUGGUGGAGGCUCGCAGCGGUUCUGACGUGCAAAUCGAUCGUCAAAUAUGGGCAUGGGGGCGAAAGA
This 816-nucleotide ribosomal RNA is filed under the name Trichoderma caerulescens. RNAcentral's name for it is "LSU rRNA". It matches the Rfam family "Eukaryotic large subunit ribosomal RNA", at positions 84 to 930 of the family's 3401-position model. The record is from RNAcentral. Lineage: Eukaryota; Fungi; Ascomycota; Sordariomycetes; Hypocreales; Hypocreaceae.